This 31-nucleotide non-coding RNA is filed under the name Rattus norvegicus (Norway rat). Lineage: Eukaryota; Metazoa; Chordata; Mammalia; Rodentia; Muridae. The record is from RNAcentral.
UGCUAAUAAAGAUUAGUGAGUGAGCCCUGCC